Molecule: microRNA precursor, 94 nt
Filed under: Xenopus tropicalis (tropical clawed frog)
Lineage: Eukaryota; Metazoa; Chordata; Amphibia; Anura; Pipidae
Description: microRNA xtr-mir-140 precursor
Gene: xtr-mir-140
Rfam family: mir-140 microRNA precursor family (bases 8-86)
Source: miRBase by way of RNAcentral
CCCUCUCUGUGUCCUCCCAGUGGUUUUACCCUAUGGUAGGUUACGUCAGGCUGUUCUACCACAGGGUAGAACCACGGACAGGAUACGGGGAGCU